UACGUAGGGACCGAGCGUCGUCCGGAUUCAUUGGGCGUAAAGAGCUCGUAGGCGGCUGCUCAAGUCGAAUGUGAAAACUCGAGGCUCAACCUCGAGCCUGCAUUCGAUACUGGGCGGCUAGAGUCUGGUAGGGGGAUCUGGAAUUCCUGGUGUAGCGGUGGAAUGCGCAGAUAUCAGGAGGAACACCGGUGGCGAAGGCGGUUCUCUGGGCCUUACCUGACGCUGAGGAGCGAAAGCGUGGGGAGCGAACAGG
RNAcentral lists this ribosomal RNA (253 nucleotides) under uncultured bacterium. RNAcentral's name for it is "partial 16S ribosomal RNA". It matches the Rfam family "Bacterial small subunit ribosomal RNA", at positions 524 to 776 of the family's 1533-position model. The record is from RNAcentral.